AGUGUGUUGGAAGGCCCUCAGAAGUCUCAUCCAAAGUCAGUGAAGAGGAGGUUGCACCCUUAAAACCAGUGGUUGGCAGCUCAGCAGAUCCAGUGGCAAAAGAAUCAGUGGAAUGGAAACCAAAG
Sinocyclocheilus anshuiensis is the source of this 125-nucleotide long non-coding RNA. RefSeq lists it as uncharacterized. The transcript is spliced from 3 exons. NCBI's taxonomy places the organism in Eukaryota, Metazoa, Chordata, Actinopteri, Cypriniformes, Cyprinidae. The record is from RefSeq and is a predicted model, not a curated record.